Molecule: ribosomal RNA, 42 nt
Filed under: Chlorella vulgaris
Lineage: Eukaryota; Viridiplantae; Chlorophyta; Trebouxiophyceae; Chlorellales; Chlorellaceae
Description: partial 28S ribosomal RNA
Source: RNAcentral
UCGACCUGAGCUCAGGCAAGACUACCCGCUGUGUAUUAAAGC